RNAcentral lists this small nucleolar RNA (129 nucleotides) under Nannospalax galili (Upper Galilee mountains blind mole rat). RNAcentral describes it as "Small nucleolar RNA SNORA8 (ENSNGAG00000002550.1)". It matches the Rfam family "Small nucleolar RNA SNORA8". Rfam says of the family: ACA8 is a member of the H/ACA class of snoRNA that guide the sites of modification of uridines to pseudouridines. The record is from Rfam by way of RNAcentral. Lineage: Eukaryota; Metazoa; Chordata; Mammalia; Rodentia; Spalacidae.
CACACAGCAUGGUAUCUGUGCUCAGCAGCUCCCGCCUCAAAAAACAGUGUGUAAGAAAUUCACUAUCUGGCAUUGUUGUUUUUCUUAGCUUUGCUGCCUAUUAAACCUGCUAUUUCUAUUGAUACAAUU